This 1187-nucleotide long non-coding RNA is filed under the name Bos indicus x Bos taurus (hybrid cattle). RNAcentral's name for it is "lncRNA (ENSBIXG00005025172.1)". Lineage: Eukaryota; Metazoa; Chordata; Mammalia; Artiodactyla; Bovidae. The record is from RNAcentral.
ACCAGUGUUACAGCUCCGUGUUACAGCUCAGUUUUAUUAUGAAAAACAAAGGCUAGUACACACUCGAGUGAGGGUGGGCAGACCCAAAAGAUGAAGAGAAGAGAGGCCUCAAUCCUUCUAGGCUUCCUCCUCUUAUACAUUUGUCUCCUUCCCCGUGAGCCUGCCCUGUGUAAAUUGGGCUAGCCAGGAGGGCUGUUUCACUUGAGGUUCUCACUCCACUCAGACUUUCCUUUAUUCUAUUUUUGCAGGCUUUUACCUUCUUUGCCUUUUAGCCACCGCUAUUUUGGACUCCUUUUUCCUAUUCUAACUACCUACCACCAUCUUUAUUUUUUUUAUCAGAUAAAAAUUUAAUAAAAAUAUGAACUGAAUGAAAGGGGAAAAGUGAUGCCUAACACCAUCUUUAUAAGUCGUUUUCCCUAUAGUAUAGUUGGGUGACAUGGGUCCCAAGAGAGGAAGACAGAUCUCUUGUGUAUUUUAUUUUCAGUGUGGAAUCGUGCUAGUGACAAUAGAUAUUCGUUGUGAAUGAAUCCGUGACCCCUAACAAAUUACUCUUUGGUUGCGUUUCUGAUUGCUUUGUUACAGGUAGUAAACACUGCCAGACAGAAGACUUCUGAUGCUUUUUAAUUAAGUGACAGAAUCCUAAAAAGGUCAGAACUGUAACUUACAAAAGCACUUUUCACUGGUUUUCCCAGAGGAAUGAAAGAUCAAAAUCUCAGGAUGUCCAGAGGAUGUAUAAAAGCAGUGGUGACAUAGCUGGUUCUGCUCAGAUGUAGCAGCAGUGAUGCAGCUGCCAUCUCCUGUCGAGGACAGUCCUUCAGCUCUGUCGUCUCCCACCACCUCGGUCUCUUCCAGUUGGUAACCCUUCUUGCCUGUUCACACAAUGCCAGCCCCUGUAUGCCAGCUGUUGUCCUGCACUACUAUAUUUUCAAGUUUUAUUCAGAGGAGAAAAUAACUAACAACACAUGGCUAAUUAAUGUAAGUGAUAAAAGAAAAGCAACUAAUUAAUCAAAUUAAUGUUCUGACACUUGUCUGGCAUUCUUUUAUGCUUGGGAGACAUCAGCAUUUUUUAAUCUCCUGCUUUGCAGUUAGGAAGUUGAUCUUUGGUCUUAUACUGAAGAACCCUGUGUAAGAAACACUAGUGCAGGACACUGCAAAUCUGCAAAAGAUUUGGAACUAGUUCAAUCUUU